UACGUAGGGUGCGAGCGUUAAUCGGAAUUACUGGGCGUAAAGCGUGCGCAGGCGGUUAUAUAAGACAGAGGUGAAAUCCCCGGGCUCAACCUGGGAACUGCCUUUGUGACUGUAUAGCUUGAGUGCGGCAGAGGGGGAUGGAAUUCCGCGUGUAGCAGUGAAAUGCGUAGAUAUGCGGAGGAACACCGAUGGCGAAGGCAAUCCCCUGGGCCUGUACUGACGCUCAUGCACGAAAGCGUGGGGAGCAAACAGG
RNAcentral lists this ribosomal RNA (253 nucleotides) under uncultured bacterium. RNAcentral describes it as "partial 16S ribosomal RNA". It matches the Rfam family "Bacterial small subunit ribosomal RNA", at positions 524 to 776 of the family's 1533-position model. The record is from RNAcentral.